Molecule: long non-coding RNA, 2515 nt
Filed under: Nicotiana tabacum (common tobacco)
Lineage: Eukaryota; Viridiplantae; Streptophyta; Magnoliopsida; Solanales; Solanaceae
Description: long non-coding RNA (NTAB_LNC017153)
Source: RNAcentral
CAGUGUUGAGACGAAAUUCGACUCUCGAGUUAGAAUGCCCUCGAGCUGAUUGAUACCAGAACAAGUAAAAAAUAAGGCAAGCUAAUGAACAAGAGAAUAUAAGCCAAAAGAGUGUUAUAUUGCUUUGAUAUGCGUGAAUGUAAGUCCCUUGCAAAUGAUUGGAACUCCUCUUUAUAUAGUAGAGGAAUUCUAAUUAUGAUAUAAUUCUAAUUGCAGAAGGAAAUCCCAUGAUUAGCUAAUUAACCGUCCUAGAUUUGAUCCGUUCUAAGAUUCUGCCAUGAUCUUCGACCAGUCACGGGUAUCUCGCAUUUAUGUUAUUAUGCUAUCUUCGAUCUUGCUCGAUGUCUGUCUCAUUUUGUCUCAAUCACUAUCGGCCUCGAUCUUGAUAGGUACCUCGAAUCUCAAACUCGGUACCUUGUCCUCAUGCCUCGAUCUGAUCUAUUACGGGAUCGAUCCUUCACACUUGUCUCGGUAAAUCGGCAAAUCGGGUGGGCCCGAUUUUAACCGUAUACAGUAUUUCCUGUAAAAAGAAAUUUUAGUAGGCAUUUGAAUAAUAAUUGAGUUGGAGCUGAAAAGAAAAGUAUUUGAAGUUUAAGUUGAAAAAUGAAUUGUAAAAUUGUAUUACGUUAUGAGACAUGAACUUCACUUUGGAAAAAUAAUUGUGAAGAAUGAGAUCUAUGAGGGGAAACUAACUUUUAUACUUGAAAUUCAAUUUCAAUUGAUUCAAAUACAGAAAUUCAAUAUUUGUAAGUACUAAAAUUGUAUAAUCAAAUGAGAUUGUCAACAUUUGUAUGGCUUAAAAAACCUCUAAGUAACAGUAAAUGAGAAAUUUAACGUCCAAAUUGUUUCAAAACAUAGAAUAUAUCAUCUUUUUGGGGCGGACUACUAAGCGAAUAGUGUCACACUAAUUAAAUAGGAGAAAUAUUAUUAACCAUGCUUAGGUCAUGUGGUAUAAAGAAAAGGACUUAAUUGUUACUUUUAUGAAACUUGUGUGGUUAGAAUUAAGUAGACUGCCCAAAAAAGAAAGAAAAUUCAGCAGAGGCAUGAAUAGGCAGACAUCAUGUGAGUUAUUUAUGGGGAUAACAACUCCCGCACACAAAGUACAACAAAUUAUAACAUACUAUAUACAUACACACACUGUCCUCGUCAAUAUAAUAAAAGAGGUCAGAGUUCAGAAAUUGACAUCAAAGGGACUGAAUUCAAAAAUUUAUAUAAUAAGUUGUACUGAAUUCAAAAAAUUUAUAAAAAUUGGUACUGAAUUCAAAAAAUUAUAGUAAUUGAUAAUGCUAUAUUUUGCUUCUCUCUGUUUCCUUUUCCUCUUCUUGCAAUGAGUCGAAUAAUUAUUGGUAUACAUAAGGUUUCUGAUUCAAAUUUCGGCGAAAACAAAAAUAUUAGGUGAUUUUUUUUCAUCUAUCUAAGUAUCAGUGAACAAAGUUAUUCGAUAUCUGUGCUGAUUAGGAUGCGUACAAGCUGAUCUGUACCCUAGGAUUAUUUAAAAGAAAAAGGGGGGGGGGGGGUUUCCCCAACUCUAUUGGAGAUUUCUUCCAACUCUCAUUGAACAACUACAGACAUCCCAACGGGCAUAAAUUGACAGCUGCUUCUAAUUUAUUUUCAGUUCUUCACCAAAUAAAGUGGUCAAAGCAAAUUAAAUUUAUUCAGUUCUUCACCAAAAGAUAAAUUAGUCAAGGCCAAUUAAUUGCAAUAUAGUCUGUACCUUGUUUACAUGGGUCUGUUUAUAAGUACUUAUCACUCUGCUAAGUGUUUGGAUAUGAGCAACUUUUUAUUAGAAUAAUUAAUCUUGUAGUUGAGGAAUCCAUACAAAGGAUAUGACACAUUCUAAUUAAUACCACACUCGACUAAUAUGUGUACGUUAAAAUACAUAUAAAAAAUAUCUUGUUGGGUGAAUUGUGACUUCGUACGAUUAAAUCGAGUGGUUAGAACUUACAAUCGCUUCAUCACAGUAUUUACUUAUGAGCUAACAUAACUAAAAUCCAAAAUGAUAAUUUUCAAAAGACAAGUGAGAGCCAGGAAAAGGUUGAAUCAAACUAGGCUAGAAAAAAAACAUUAUUGAGGAUUAGCACCAUUCAUAUGAAUCAUGUAAUAUAAGCGGUUUCUUAUGUACUAAUUAUAGCUUGACAUAAGAAAAGACAUUUGUACCUUAGAAAAAACGUACAAAGUGUGAUAAACUUAUGUGCAUAGAUUAUCAUGUGCUGUGGCCUCCACUGACAUACAAUGGUAUUUCUUUUUUUUUCCUGUUUGGUGAAAACAUGAAGGUAGAUUGGUCUAAGAAAGACAAGAAAAUUUGGCUCCUGCAGCUGAAAGUUAUGGAAUCUCAUCAUCUGUUAUAUUUUCAUGCAUGCAAUUAGGUGAUGAAAUUAUUCAUAAAGUGUGGCAGUUGAUAAGGUUGCAUCACAGAAACCGAAAUGUUACCAGAAUUAUUGUUGAAUCAACAGGUCUGUUGCAACUAAUUAUAACAUAGGAUAUUGUUUCUUUUAACCCGCAGACAUAAAGAAAC